AGUGAACGCUAGUGGCGUGCUUAACACAUGCAAGUCGAACGGACGAUAUUUGUGCUUGCACAAAUAAAGUUAGUGGCAAACGGGUGAGUAAUACAUGAGAAUUUUCCUUGCAGUACGGAAUAACUAUUGGAAACAGUAGCUAAUACCGUAUAUUGCCGAGAGGUGAAAGAUUUAUCGCUGCAAGAUAAGCCCAUGCAAGAUUAGCUAGUUGGUGAGGUAAUGGCCUACCAAGGCGACGAUCCAUAGCUGGUCUGAGAGGAUGAUCAGCCACACUGGGACUGAGACACGGCCCAGACUCCUACGGGAGGCAGCAGUGGGGAAUAUUGGACAAUGGGGGAAACCCUGAUCCAGCAAUGCCGCGUGAGUGAUGAAGGCCCUAGGGUUGUAAAGCACUUUCACCGGUGAAGAUAAUGACGGUAACCAGAGAAGAAGCCCCGGCUAACUUCGUGCCAGCCGCCGCCGUAAAAC
RNAcentral lists this ribosomal RNA (468 nucleotides) under uncultured bacterium. RNAcentral's name for it is "bacterial SSU rRNA". It matches the Rfam family "Bacterial small subunit ribosomal RNA", at positions 29 to 526 of the family's 1533-position model. The record is from RNAcentral.